Molecule: ribosomal RNA, 1308 nt
Filed under: Triticum aestivum (bread wheat)
Lineage: Eukaryota; Viridiplantae; Streptophyta; Magnoliopsida; Poales; Poaceae
Description: partial small subunit ribosomal RNA
Source: RNAcentral
AUGACGCGCCGAAGCCGGGAACGCCGCGCGGCCGCCGGCGACGGAGACCCCGCCGGCCCCCCGCAUUACGCCCCCGACGAGGAGCGCCGCCUCGCCGAGGAGGUGCUCUACCUCCACUCCCUCUGGCGCAGGGGCCCGCCCGCCCCCGCCCCCGCCGGGCCUCCCGCGCCACCCGCCGGAGGCUCCCGCGCCAGCGCCGGAGGCUCCCGCCCCAACCAGCGGAAGCGCCGCAGGACCGAGCGCACCGCCGCGGAGCCCGAGGAACCCGGCGCCGACUGGCCCCUCGCGCCCUCCCCGCCCGCCUCCCCAUCCCCCGCCUCCUGGCCCGACGCCGCCCCCUCCUCCCCCGCUCCCAGGCCGCCGCCGCAGCAGCAACCUUCCCCCGCCUCGCUCGCGCAGCGGGACGCCCUCCGCGCCGCCGAGGAGUUCUUCUCCGCGCGCGGCUCCUCGGGCGAGGACGGCGACGGCGAGUCCGAGGGGUCCGAGUCGGAGGACGGCGGGGACGCGGCGGCGGGGUUCUUCCUCGGGCUGUUCGAGCGGGACGCCGCGCUGCGGGGGUACUACGAGCGGUGCCACGAGGAGGGGGAGUUCCGGUGCAUGGGGUGCGUGGGGAGGAAGAGGAAGGGCAGGGGCCAGGCCAGGAGGUUCCGGGACUGCAAAAGCCUCGUGCACCACGCGCGCGACGCCACGCGCUGCGGGAGGCCGCUGGCGCACCGCGCGCUCGCCGCCGCCGUCUGCCGCGUUCUCGGCUGGGACGUCAAGCGGCUGCCCAGCAUCGUCAUCGACCCCUGCGGCACGCUCGGCCAGGCGCUGCUCGCCAGGGAGGGGGCGAGUGCCGCCGCUUCCACCGCCCAGGAGGCAAAGGAGAAUGUUGAUAGUGUGGACAAUGAUGGCAUGGAUGCAGUGAAGGAGGAUGUUGGUUUGGACAAGAACGGCUCCUUGAAUGAUGACAGGAAGGAGGAUGUUGAUAGUAGAAUGAAUGAGGCCGCAUUAAGUGAUGGGGAUGGAGCAAAGGACGGUGUUGAUACAGGGAAGAUUGGCUCUCCAAGUAAUGACAAUGAUGGAGAGGUUCAUGGGCAAGACAAUGAUACAAGAACUGUUGAAAAGGAAGGUGCUAUUGGCAAUAAACAGGAGCAUCCUAAGAGUGCAGAUGCUAUGGGGGGCACUUGUGAUGUCAGACCAGAAAACAAUUCAUCAAAGGAAGAAGCUGCUACAGAGAAUAAGGAGGAGCAUACUGACGGUGUUGUUGACUCCGGAGAUGAUAUUGGUAACUUGGGAGACAAUUUAGUGGACUCAUCAAAGAGUUGA